Molecule: ribosomal RNA, 491 nt
Filed under: uncultured bacterium
Lineage: Bacteria
Description: partial 16S ribosomal RNA
Rfam family: Bacterial small subunit ribosomal RNA
Source: RNAcentral
GUGAACGCUGGCGGUAGGCCCAACACAUGCAAGUCGAACGGCAGCACAGUAAGAGCUUGCUCUUACGGGUGGCGAGUGGCGGACGGGUGAGGAAUACAUCGGAAUCUACUUUUUCGUGGGGGAGAACGUAGGGAAACUUACGCUAAUACCGCAUACGACCUACGGGUGAAAGCAGGGGAUCUUCGGACCUUGCGCGAUUGAAUGAGCCGAUGUCGGAUUAGCUAGUUGGCGGGGUAAAGGCCCACCAAGGCGACGAUCCGUAGCUGGUCUGAGAGGAUGAUCAGCCACACUGGAACUGAGACACGGUCCAGACUCCUACGGGAGGCAGCAGUGGGGAAUAUUGGACAAUGGGCGCAAGCCUGAUCCAGCCAUACCGCGUGGGUGAAGAAGGCCUUCGGGUUGUAAAGCCCUUUUGUUGGGAAAGAAAAGCAGCAGGUUAAUACCCCGCUGUUCUGACGGUACCCAAAGAAUAAGCACCGGCUAACUUCGUG